RNAcentral lists this unclassified non-coding RNA (728 nucleotides) under Trichilia havanensis. Its description in RNAcentral is "sequence contains 18S rRNA gene, ITS1, 5.8S rRNA gene, ITS2, 28S rRNA gene". The stretch from base 307 to 452 matches the Rfam family "5.8S ribosomal RNA". Lineage: Eukaryota; Viridiplantae; Streptophyta; Magnoliopsida; Sapindales; Meliaceae. The record is from RNAcentral.
AGUCGUAACAAGGUUUCCGUAGGUGAACCUGCGGAAGGAUCAUUGUCGAAACCUGCCCGGCAGAACGACCCGCGAACUCGUUAAAUUUUGCCCGAGGGGGUGCGUUCUCGGGGCGUCUGUUCUCCCCGCGUCGGCCCCCUCCCGCCGCGGGGGGCGAGCACCUGUGCCUCGUCCCCCGCGGCCUAACAACGAACCCCCGGCGCGAGCCGCGCCAAGGAAAAUCCAACGAGAGAGAGAGCGCUCCCGCAGCCCCGUACGCGGUCUGCUGGCGGGAUGCGUCCCCUCCUUUCAACGAAAAUCCAAAACGACUCUCGGCAACGGAUAUCUCGGCUCUCGCAUCGAUGAAAAAUGCGAUACUUGGUGUGAAUUGCAGAAUCCCGUGAACCAUCGAGUCUUUGAACGCAAGUUGCGCCCCAAGCCUUUAGGCCGAGGGCACGUCUGCCUGGGUGUCACGCAUCGUCGCCCCCUCCAGCCCCCCCUCCCGGGGGAGCRUCGGACGGGCGGAAAAUGGCCUCCCGUGCGCCCCCCGCUCGCGGUUGGCCGAAAUUAGAGUCCCCCGGCGACCUUGCCGCGACGAUCGGUGGUGAAACAAGCCUCUCGAGCUCCCGUCGCGCGCUCGCGUCUCCGUGUUACGGGCUCGCGGACCCUGCCGGGCAAGCGCCUCCCGUUCGAGGCGCUGCUCGCUGAGCGACCCCAGGUCAGGCGGGACUACCCGCUGAGUUUAAGCA